CAGGAUCUUCUUGAUUUGCAGAGGAGGUGAUGUUCUAUGUCACUCUGCUUCUGUUGCAUCACAGCCUUCACUCUGUGUGAAAACCAGUGGCACUGCCACCCCACUACCUGGCUUCUGGGGACCACACUGAGAGCAGAAAGCAGGAAAAGGUCACACAGUGUGACAUGCCUUGCCACUGGCUGUCAUCCUGUGCAUCCCAGCUCUGCAUCUACUCCCUGUGCCAGGGCAGCGUUGGUGCAAAAAAAGUGCUUUGAAUUCAUCACUGUGUUUGUUCACAUGCAAGUGUGCCAGAAGGACUUGCCUAAUUCAUCCCCUAGACUUCAACCAAGCUGUAGCUGAAGGUACCUUGAUGGUCUCACCUGAAGUAGCCUCCUCAGGCUGCAUGGUGCAGCACAAGCAAACAUUUUGGGGACCAGACCACCACUGCACCUAGGCAUGAGGGAUUUGUUUUGCCAGUGUGUGACUGAAGGAGUGAGGAGCAGAUCAGUGCUGGCAUGGAGACAAACCUGCAGAAGGUCAUCAGGAGCCCAGGGGCAAGGCCAGGCAAAUAAUAAAGAGCUGUAGCAGGUGAGGUUGGCUGAAGAUAACAGCUCAGGUUGGUCCCAUUCUGCUUCUCCAGCUGCUGCUACCCCAUUACUCCUCUUCAUUAAAUAUUUCCAGUUCACAUCUUCCCAACAGGAAAAGGGUAAUUACCAGACUUAAGGGUUUCUGCAUGCAUUUCCAAGAUAGCCUCAGUCAAUUUUCCUUCUUUCCUGCCAAUCUGUGUGUCCAGUUCUCUUUCGCUGUGUGUAAGGAAAGCAAACACAGUGCUGGAUAUGGUGUGAGUGCUGCUGCUGUGGGGUUCCAGUCUGCAGCACAUAAGCACCAGCCCAUCCUUCAUUUGCAAAAUCCAUCCUGUGGAACCUGAUGUUAAGGCUAACAGCUCUUCCCUUCUUUUUUCUUUAGAUCCUCUGA
Long non-coding RNA from Passer domesticus (house sparrow), 954 nucleotides. RefSeq lists it as uncharacterized. The record is from RefSeq and is a predicted model, not a curated record. Lineage: Eukaryota; Metazoa; Chordata; Aves; Passeriformes; Passeridae. The transcript has 3 exons.